CAACCUGCCUACCUCACAAUCACAUCAGAGCACUACAAGCAACUGCUGCCAUGAGCAAGAUCCCAGCCCACAAGGAAAGGUCUGCCCUAUAGAUCAUCCUGUACCAGAGAUCUACAGCAUAAUGGCCUGGAAGCAGUCUUUGUUUUGGAGCCAAGCCCAGCAAAGUCUCAAUUCCUUCCCCUUCAAUCGCCAUCUGGAUGAACAAGGCCAAGUCAUUGACCUUCUCUGGGCCUCAGUUUCCUCACCCAUAAACUGGAGCAAAGUCAUCUCCAAGACAGCAGGAACCAUGUUUACUCUUUAAUCAUUGUAUGCUCCCUAAAUAUUUGCUGAACAAGUGAACAAAAAACCUGGUGGUGGUGAAAUUAGACUCCUUCUUGGUGUCACCAGGAGGUCCAGUUGGAUAAUUUCAAGACAAGCCCAAAGUACAUUAGCAGAGGAAUGGGGAAGAAAUCCAUAAGGAAGCCAUGUAAGCAGCCUUAAGCAAGAGAAAAGUGGGUGAUUCUGAUAAUGCGACAAGUACCAGGGACCCAGAAAGGAUCAGAAUGAAUAAAAGUAUAUAUUUUAAUC
Molecule: long non-coding RNA, 567 nt
Filed under: Homo sapiens (human)
Lineage: Eukaryota; Metazoa; Chordata; Mammalia; Primates; Hominidae
Description: uncharacterized LOC105375341, transcript variant 3 (LOC105375341)
Source: RNAcentral